GAUAACAAAGGGUUUUGAACUCGGUAGUCAUGUUGUGUGAUUUUUCUUUCUCUUUUUCUCGUGCAUCACGUAUACCUGGGGGUUAAUUUCACUCUUUUUGACUCUUUUUCUACUCAAAUUUUCCGAGCAUUCUAUAUCUGUUAGAGUCUUAGGUCUCGGCAAGUGCAUUUUUCUCUUUUGUUUUUCUUUUCUUUUUUUUUCUUUUUUCUUUCUCUUUUUUUUUCAUUUAAAGAAAAU
RNAcentral lists this long non-coding RNA (237 nucleotides) under Lathyrus oleraceus (garden pea). RNAcentral's name for it is "Pisum sativum (pea) long non-coding RNA (PSAT_LNC009427)". The record is from RNAcentral. Lineage: Eukaryota; Viridiplantae; Streptophyta; Magnoliopsida; Fabales; Fabaceae.